CCCAGGAUGGUGUAAUGGUUUAAAUAUUGGACUACGACUCUGGAGAGCAGGGUUCGAAUCCCAGCUUGGUG
RNAcentral lists this transfer RNA (71 nucleotides) under Phrynosoma platyrhinos (Desert horned lizard). RNAcentral describes it as "tRNA-OTHER". Lineage: Eukaryota; Metazoa; Chordata; Lepidosauria; Squamata; Phrynosomatidae. The record is from RNAcentral.